GCCAUCGUGGCGUAGUGGUCAGCACGCUGGGCGCGUAUUCCAGAUGUCCGUGGUUCGAGUCCAGGCGAAGACA
Molecule: transfer RNA, 73 nt
Filed under: Stegodyphus mimosarum
Lineage: Eukaryota; Metazoa; Arthropoda; Arachnida; Araneae; Eresidae
Rfam family: tRNA
About the family: Transfer RNA (tRNA) molecules are approximately 80 nucleotides in length. Their secondary structure includes four short double-helical elements and three loops (D, anti-codon, and T loops).
Source: Rfam by way of RNAcentral